Bubalus bubalis (water buffalo) is the source of this 966-nucleotide long non-coding RNA. RefSeq lists it as uncharacterized. NCBI's taxonomy places the organism in Eukaryota, Metazoa, Chordata, Mammalia, Artiodactyla, Bovidae. The transcript has 2 exons. The record is from RefSeq and is a predicted model, not a curated record.
GACAAGUGGGCAAAGGUUUCCCCCACACCACCAGAAGGGUAACAUUUAAAAAUGGAAAUGGCUUGUGUAACCUACUUUUCUUUGCUUUUAAAAUAACAGCUCCUAGAUUUGCAUUUGUUUUUAAUUCUUGGCCCCCUGACCCCUGCUCCUGUUUGACUUGAUAAAUUCCAUCUCUCCUUCCACAGGCAACUAUUUAAUCCUGAGCUUUUUGUAACUGCUUCAUCAAAAUGGUUUUAGGUACCAUCAUGAUGAAGAAACGACAUGAAGGGCCAACAUCUGGUUCAUUAGUAUGGACAGUAAUACUAAGAUUCAGAAGGAACUUGAGAGUUGAUUACACCAAGAAGGCUUAGACAGGUUGGGAUGUGGGGGCCAUGAAGGAAGAUGCUCCCUGGUUGAUCCUGAUAGCCAGGCCAGUAUAGGAUCCCCAGUCCCCACUCUCUUAGUAGUUCUUAAAUAUGUUACUUUGUAAAGAAAUGGAGGAAUUGUCAACAUAGUAGCCAAGAGCUCAAUUUCAGAGAUGAGAACAUGUAUUGAAUGGAGAGAAAAGGCAAGAUGAUACACUUGAGCAUCCAGAGAGUCAAGAAAAAAAGGCAGAAGCAGCAGGCAUGGCUCACUCGGUUACCCUACUGCUUUCUGAUGAUAUGCCCACUUCCCUGGUAUAGUUCCAGGUAGCUCUUCUACCAGAAUUAAGGUUUGAAAAGUGAAAGUGUUAAUUGCUUAAUCAUGUCCAGUGCUUUGUGACGCUAUGCACUGUAACCUGUCAGGCUCCUCUAUCCAUGGACUUCUCCAAGCAAGAAUACUGGAAUGGGUAGCCAUUCCCUUCUCCAGAGGAUAUUCCCAGCCCAGGAAUGGAACCCAAGUCUCCUGCAAUGCAGGCAGAUUCUCUACCAUCUGAGCUACCAAUUGGUCCUAAUUAACCUAGAUACUCUACAAGCAUUAAACAAAUAAAUUCAGUUUUAAAUUCAA